Molecule: long non-coding RNA, 603 nt
Filed under: Nicotiana benthamiana
Lineage: Eukaryota; Viridiplantae; Streptophyta; Magnoliopsida; Solanales; Solanaceae
Description: long non-coding RNA (NBEN_LNC012685)
Source: RNAcentral
GAAAUUCUUGUGCUAUUAAUUUUAAGAUAAGAUCUGAGCAAUUAUUGGUUAAAAAUGGUUUGAAUUGGUUGGUGUCUAAGGGUUUUGGUUCAUUCGUGGUUCAAAUGUUGUUGUUGGGUUGUGAAGUUACUUUUCUGGGCUGUUUUCGCAUCAUUUUCUAAGCUAAGAAACUGGUUAUUUUUGGAUGAUUUUGUGUUUUUGGUUGUUGUUAACACUUCGCCUCUAUUUCUCAUUUUCCCCAGGUAUACAAUUUUGUAACUCGUUGGUUAUGACGUGAAGGAAUAAAAAAUGGGAGUUUGAAGUAGCACAUCUGGUUAAUUUGUUUGUUUGCAAGUUGCUCUGAUUUCUUUCUUUCCUCAUAAUUCUUGCAUGCCUAGCCAUUCAAAUAUUGAAUCAUGUUCAUUUACAUAGUAAUUUCCUUUUAGUUUUGAUUCUCAAAUGAUUGUAAUUAAUGUUGGACUGUCAGAUUGUGAUGUAUUCAAAUCUCAUUUGGUUAUUAUAGCUUUAAUAUAGGUUAAUGUUUGCGAUCCAGGCUAGUUAAAUGUAGGAAUUGAUUGGAAUUGUCAGUUUCUCCUUUGUCUAUAGGUACAAUUUUGAUAUUCC